RNAcentral lists this ribosomal RNA (468 nucleotides) under uncultured bacterium. RNAcentral describes it as "partial 16S ribosomal RNA". It matches the Rfam family "Bacterial small subunit ribosomal RNA", at positions 28 to 507 of the family's 1533-position model. The record is from RNAcentral.
GACGAACGCUGGCGGCGUGCUUAACACAUGCAAGUCGAACGGAAAGGCCCUGCUUUUGUGGGGUGCUCGAGUGGCGAACGGGUGAGUAACACGUGAGUAACCUGCCCUUGACUUUGGGAUAACUUCAGGAAACUGGGGCUAAUACCGGAUAGGAGCUCCUGCUGCAUGGUGGGGGUUGGAAAGUUUCGGCGGUUGGGGCUGGACUCGCGGCUUAUCAGCUUGUUGGUGGGGUAGUGGCUUACCAAGGCUUUGACGGGUAGCCGGCCUGAGAGGGUGACCGGCCACAUUGGGACUGAGAUACGGCCCAGACUCCUACGGGAGGCAGCAGUGGGGAAUAUUGCACAAUGGGCGGAAGCCUGAUGCAGCAGCGCCGCGUGCGUGAUGACGGCCUUCGGGUUGUAAACCGCUUUCGCCUGUGACGAAGCGUGAGUGACGGUAAUGGGUAAAGAAGCACCGGCUAACUACGUG